UUGCUCGCUUCGGCAGCACAAAUACUAAAAUUAGAACAAUACAGAGAAGAUUAGCAUAACCCCAGCACAAGGGUGACAGACAAAUUUAUGAAGUGUUUCAUAUUUUU
Small nuclear RNA from Arvicola amphibius (Eurasian water vole), 107 nucleotides. NCBI's taxonomy places the organism in Eukaryota, Metazoa, Chordata, Mammalia, Rodentia, Cricetidae. The record is from RefSeq and is a predicted model, not a curated record.